GAUCAGAUCAAGCGCGAGAAGGGCGUUUGGUGGAUGCCUUGGCAGUAAGAGGCGAUGAAGGACGUGAUACUCUGCGAUAAGUUCUGGGGAGCUGAGAAUAAGCUUUGAUCCAGGAAUUUCCGAAUGGGGCAACCCACUUGAAUGCUUGAUGAUAUUAUCUCGCUUAGGCGAGGUGGUUAUCAUUGAGUAUAAUCAAGUACUUAUUACCUGAACACAUAGGGUUUUAAGAGCAAACCCGGGGAACUGAAACAUCUAAGUACCCGGAGGAAAGGACAUCAAUAUGAUACUCCCCUAGUAGCGGCGAGCGAACGGGGACCAGCCGAGCCUUGAGUGUGAAUAGAAUGGUCUGGAAUGGCCAACCAUAGUGGGUGACAGUCCCGUAUAUGAAGCAUGAUAGGACGUAUUAAGUAGGGCGGGACACGUGAAAUCCUGUCUGAAGAUCGGGGGACCACCCUCGAAGGCUAAGUACUCCUUACUGACCGAUAGCGAACCAGUACCGUGAGGGAAAGGUGAAAAGCACCCCGACGAGGGGAGUGAAACAGUACCUGAAACCGAACGCCUACAAUCAGUCGGAGGCUCCUUGCGAGCUGACGGCGUACCUUUUGUAUAAUGGGUCAUCGACUUGGUCUCACGUGCAAGCUUAAGCCGAUAGGUGUAGGCGCAGCGAAAGCGAGUCUUAAUAGGGCGUCGAGUUCGUGGGAUCAGACCCGAAACCGAGUGAUCUAGGCAUGACCAGGAUGAAGGUAAGGUAACACUUACUGGAGGUCCGAACCCACACCUGUUGAAAAAGGUCGGGAUGAGUUGUGCCUAGGGGUGAAAGGCCAAUCAAACUCGGAGAUAGCUGGUUCUCCGCGAAAUCUAUUUAGGUAGAGCGUCAUCCGAAUACCCCGGGGGGUAGAGCACUGGAUGGGUAAUGGGGCCCCACAGGCUUACUGAUCCUAACCAAACUCCGAAUACCCGGGAGUACUAGAUGGCAGACACACUGCGGAUGCUAACGUCCGUAGUGGAGAGGGAAACAACCCUGACCUCCAGCUAAGGCCCCUAAUUCAUGGCUAAGUGGGAAAGCAGGUGGGACGACCAAAACAACCAGGAGGUUGGCUUAGAAGCAGCCAUCCUUUAAAGAUAGCGUAACAGCUCACUGGUCUAAUUAAGUUGUCCUGCGGCGAAGAUGUAACGGGGCUCAAGCCAUGAGCCGAAGCUGAGGAUGCACAUAGUGCAUGGUAGCGGAGCGUAGUGUGACAUAGCUCCAUGCGUCCUUAUCCUUCUUCGGAAGGUAUUGGACGCAAGGAGCUUUCAGUGAAGCCGGGCUGUAAGGCAUCCGGUGGAGAGAUCACUAGCGAGAAUGAUGACAUGAGUAGCGACAAAGAGUGUGAGAGACACUCUCGCCGAAAGUCCAAGGGUUCCUGCUUAAAGCUAAUCUGAGCAGGGUAAGCCGGCCCCUAAGUCGAGGCAGAAAUGCGUAGACGAUGGGAAUCAGGUUAAUAUUCCUGAGCCAGGAGGAUGUGACGGAUCGUGGCGGCGUGCGGGUCUUAUCGGAUUGACCCGUAUCCAAGACGGUUCCUGGAAAUAGCCCUCCAUCAGACCGUACCCUAAACCGACACAGGUGGACUGGUAGAGCAUACCAAGGCGCUUGAGAGAACGAUGUUGAAGGAACUCGGCAAAAUACCUCCGUAAGUUCGCGAGAAGGAGGCCCGGUGCAUGACCACCGGGGGCACAAACCAGGGGGUGGCGACUGUUUACUAAAAACACAGGGCUCUGCGAAGUCGCAAGACGACGUAUAGGGUCUGACGCCUGCCCGGUGCCUGAAGGUUAAAAGGAGGGGUGCAAGCUCCGAAUUGAAGCCCAGGUAAACGGCGGCCGUAACUAUAACGGUCCUAAGGUAGCGAAAUUCCUUGUCGGGUAAGUUCCGACCUGCACGAAUGGCGUAACGACUUCCCCGCUGUCUCCAACAUCGACUCAGCGAAAUUGAAUUGCCUGUCAAGAUGCAGGCUUCCCGCGGUUAGACGGAAAGACCCCGUGCACCUUUACUACAGCUUCACACUGGCAUUAGGCCGAACAUGUGCAGGAUAGGUGGUAGACUUCGAAGCAGGGACGCUAGUUCCUGUGGAGUCUCCCUUGAGAUACCACCCUUGUUCUGCUUGAUGUCUAACCGCGAUCCCUUAUCGGGUUCCGGGACCCUGUGUGGCGGGUAGUUUGACUGGGGCGGUCGCCUCCUAAAGCGUAACGGAGGCGCGCGAAGGUUGGCUCAGAGCGGUCGGAAAUCGCUCGUUGAGUGCAAUGGCAGAAGCCAGCCUGACUGCGAGACUGACAAGUCGAGCAGAGUCGAAAGACGGCCAUAGUGAUCCGGUGGUCCCGAGUGGAAGGGCCAUCGCUCAACGGAUAAAAGGUACGCCGGGGAUAACAGGCUGAUACUGCCCAAGAGUCCAUAUCGACGGCAGUGUUUGGCACCUCGAUGUCGGCUCAUCUCAUCCUGGGGCUGGAGCAGGUCCCAAGGGUACGGCUGUUCGCCGUUUAAAGAGGUACGUGAGCUGGGUUUAGAACGUCGUGAGACAGUUCGGUCCCUAUCUGCCGUGGGUGUAGGAUACUUGAGAGGAGUUGCCCCUAGUACGAGAGGACCGGGGUGAACGAACCACUGGUGGACCAGUUAUCGUGCCAACGGUAGUGCUGGGUAGCUAUGUUCGGAAAGGAUAACCGCUGAAGGCAUCUAAGCGGGAAGCCCCCCUCAAAACAAGGUAUCCCUGAGGGCCGUGGUAGACCACCACGUCGAUAGGCCGGAGAUGUAAGUGCAGCAAUGCAUUCAGUUGACCGGUACUAAUGGCCCGAUAGGCUUGAUUUGAUCCAG
RNAcentral lists this ribosomal RNA (2842 nucleotides) under Pseudooceanicola sp. HF7. RNAcentral's name for it is "23S ribosomal RNA". It matches the Rfam family "Bacterial large subunit ribosomal RNA". Lineage: Bacteria; Pseudomonadati; Pseudomonadota; Alphaproteobacteria; Rhodobacterales; Paracoccaceae. The record is from RNAcentral.